Non-coding RNA from Chrysemys picta bellii (western painted turtle), 4757 nucleotides. Lineage: Eukaryota; Metazoa; Chordata; Testudines; Emydidae. The record is from RefSeq and is a predicted model, not a curated record.
GUCCCCAGCCUCCACGGGAGGGACGGGCUCAGAGCCGCUGCUCUCGUUUGGGAAGCUUGGAGCCAGGGGCGCAUCCCGGCCGCGGGGGCCGCAGCACCAUCAGCCCUGGCAGCUCUCGCCGGGGCCAGCAGAGGCCGCGGGGCAGCUGGAGGGAGGAGCUGGGUCUCCAACGCCUUACACCCGCCCAGCUCUGCGCGAGGGCUGCCCCAGGCUGCUUGUGCCCAGGCCCCGCCCUUGGAAGUAGCAGUCGGGGACCGCCUGGGGCUCAGGAUCAGCCUGCCUGGCCUGGUUUUCAUACCUCGGAGGUGGAGCCCUCGGCUGCCAGAGGGAGGCCAGGCUGCAGUUAGAGCAAUGGUGAAGUUCUCUGGGGCUUGGACCUCCUCUUUAGACUGCCCCUCUUGGACCCCCUCUUAGCACAGUUGAGCCCUGAUGCUUGAUUGCGGCUCCCUAGGGGGAAGAGAAGGCAGACUGUGUUUCAAAGGGGAUGGAGACCAACAGUUGGAGGUACAACAUUGGUCCACAAAUAAUGAAGACGAGGCAAAUAAGGCUUUUCAAGAGCUUCACAGUAUCUUUUGACCUGGGAUGUGCUGUCCAGUGAUGAAUGGGGCACGUUAACCUUCUGCUCUUCACACUCGGUCCACACCUGGCUGGGACCUCAGCCCCUGCACCACUGCGCAGUAGCUCCUGAGCUCAGUGGACCCACAACCCUGUUCUGGAAUUGGAAACCAUGCUGUGGGGAGGGAAUGUCGUGGAAAGUCUCAGCUGGAAGGUGUUUUACUGAGGAGAGGAGGUUGAUGGUUGUGGUUUAUUCUUAAGUGGAUAUUCAGCCUCAUGACAAACCCAUUGCACAAUAAAGCGUUCCCAUCUAUGGCUGUUUGGCAGCUCAUAUGUGAAAUGAUUUGGGGGGGUUAGUUGAAUUCCUAGCAUCACCCAAACAACCUAGCAAUUGGCGGUCAUCAUUCUCCUUGACAGUUUCAUCAGAGAAGGCAUGGAUUGAACUCGUCACAAAGCUUCAGCUCCCUAGAGUACCUAGAGAUGGGGCCUCUGACAUGCCCUGGGGAAGCCAGUGCUGUUUCUUUUGUGUCCAGAAAGGCCUUCAUCUUCUAGGGCUGUGAAUUCAACAGCAUGCAGUUCAGCAAAAAAUGAUUUACAAACACAAAACAAAUGGUGGUGUUUGGCAUUAUGUAAUGGCACUUUUUUUCACUUGCAGUGCAGGAGCUUUUAAUACCAGCAUGCUGAAACUAACCAAAUUUAGGUUAGUCAGGACCAGGAAGGUCUUUUGAGGAAGCUCAGAGGGAUCUAACCAAGCUAGAUGCAAGGAUUUGAAAAUCUUUUCUGUAGUCUGAAGUUUUCCUUUCAGGAUCCGAAAUCUGUGAGCAGCAGAUGAUCCUGACGACAGUGGAGAGGAAUACUUGGGAAAGUUUACUUAAAGGAGGACAGGUUAGAAAAACAAUCUCUCUCUUCACUGCUUGAAUCAGUCAGCAUGACGCUGACGACGACACAGUUGGAAGAGAAUGCAGCAGGCUCCUUGGUCCUGAGGCAAAGCAGCCCACACAGUCAGUUAAUGUGAGGAGACUGGUCUGUGCUUGGAGGCAGUGUGGCAGGGUUUGUGAGGUGGGGGCCCUGGAUGCAAGUCAGACGAUCUAAUCAAAGCAAUCCUUUUGGUUUCCAGUUCUGUCAAGGGAAUAAAGGGGGUAGGGAGAGUGCCUGCUAAGUUUGAAAGAGGUGCUGCAGGACUGGGCUCGUCUCCAGGAUACAGGGCACUCUUGAGUGUCCCUCUCUGGGAGCGUGUUAUUGAGCCGUUAAGCGAUGAAAAACUUCUCUUGGUGAGGAAGGUGCUCUCUCUCUCUCUCUGCAAGCGUCUCCAGCACCAAGGGGCACUGAUAGAUGGGCUCAGUGCAGUCAAGGGACAGCGAAUUUUCGGAGGCGGGAGUGAAGUGGCUGAGAAGCUGUGGAAGCCUGUGUCCAGGGGGCCUGGAAGGUCAGUCACCUGGUAGCCCAAGCCAGAUGGCUGAUGUUUGUGCUGGGGGCGGGGGGAGGGGGAUUACUGCAAAUAUUUUUACACAUAUUCACACUGGCUUUGUUGGUGCCCCUUUUGUGUUCCCUUUGGGGGAAAUCCAGUCCUGCCCAACACAAGGUGUAUAUACCACUGCAAUCCCACUCCCCCCCCACUCCCAACACAUCUGUGAAUGCCAUGACGUUCUGGCACAAGCAAACAGUUGUGGGUUUCAAAGCACCAUUCUUGACCAGCUCAUGGCUUGAUGGAUACCUCUGUGGGCAGGGGGAACUUCUUCAGAGCUUUAACUGUAACAUCCUCUCCCUUUUGUCCCACUCUAUGUCAUCCUGAGGAAUGCCACCUGGGAGAACUUUCCUACUGGUGAUGUCCCUUGGACCUCCCACUCAUGGUUUGCUUUAGUUUGCAGGGGAGAGGAGACGUAUGUUCCUUUCCCAGAGCUCAGCCCAUCAGCCAAACCAGUGGGAGCCUCUUAGGACUAACAGGAGCCAGUGCAAAUCAGAUCUAAUCUGGUAGGAGCUUUACUGAGCUGGACUUAAUUUUAAGUCACCUGCCCCUGGCCAAGACGGUCAGAACUGAGCUGGUCUUGGAGGAAAGUUACUUCCUCACUGAACUGGUAGGAGCCAUGCAGGAGAAUUUGCUUUGCCCUGGACACACCAUGCUGGGCUGAUAUCCUCUGAGAGUUGUUCACAAAUUACACCAUCCUAGCAAGACCUUUUCUAAAGGGCCAACACUGGAGCCGAUAGCUUUUCCAUAAUAAGUGGCAGAGUUCAUGCCGCUGAACCUAAGGCCAGGCUGGGCCUUUCUCUGCUCAUAGGCUCUGUCUGAAUCCUUUGUGCGUUCAGCUCCACAGCUUGGAUGGUGGGUUCACGUGAUCACCAGAGUUGCUCCAGGAAACUCUGCUUCCUGGUCCUAAUGCUCGGAGACAGUCAUUCUCGUCUCCACCUUCUGGCCCUUUCCAGGAUGGUUUGUAGAGGGAUGGGUCUGGCCAUAAAGUUGCUCACAAUUGGAGCACUGGAAGGUCAGGAAUCUAGAGGCUGCAGCCAAACCACAGAAUCCAAUAGGGCUCAGCCUGCCAGCCAUCACCUGGACGUUAAAUGGAUUGCACAUGGGUUCCCUGAUUACAGACACUGGAAACCCCAGACUUCAGGGGAGACGGAAUUACAUCUCGUAACAGGAAGAGUUUGUGUCCUGAAAACAGCCAGUGGGGGAUAUGAAGGAGGCAGGUAGAUUUAAUUACUAGCAUGGGAUUGAUUAGAGAAGGGCUAUUUGGCGAGGAGAUGAUGGCAUUAGCUGAUAUUUGGGAUCCUUUGGUAACACUAAUAGAUAUAAUAAUAAAUAAUAAAUUAAUAAUGUUUGAAUGUGCCUGUGUGUCAUAGCACCCACAAACAUAAUGUGGGGUUUGAGAGUAUAUCAUAUAUGCAGCCAUGCAAUAAUGUGUGUGAGCAUGUCAUGUUGUGUAUAGUUGUGUGCAAGUCUGUGAAUACAGCUCACACAUUCUCCCUGGCUACUUUGCUCCUUCUCUGUUAGGCUUGUAACCUCCUGAUGAUUGUAUAAAGUUUCUCAGGACACUUCCAGGCUGUUUAUCUGAUACAGCAUCAUGCUCCCAGGGGUUAGGACACUAGCUUGGGGCUCAGGAAACCCCGGUUCAGUUCUCUACUCUGCCACAGGCUUCCUGAGUGACCUUGAACAAGACAAUUAGUCUUUCUGGCCAUCAAAGAUAUUGAGGCAUCUGAUGUCUACUGAUUUCCAUGAAAGUUAGGCGCCUGAAUACCUUUGAGGGUCUGGGACUCAGUGCUGAUCUGUAAAAUGGGGAUAACACCAUGGCUCCACUUCACAGGGGAUGUUGUGAGGAUAAAUACAUUUAAAAUUGGGAGGUGCUCAGAUACCACAGUGAUGGGGGGCAUAGAAGAAUCUAGAUGAUAGGUAGAUCCAAUAUAGUGCAACCCAACUUUCUUCAACAUUCCCGGCCUUCAAUCCAUUGUACUACUCUUCUGAGUAGAUUUGGUACUAGUACUUUAGAAGAGGGGAAUGGAGGUGGGUGGAGGGAGAGCUGAAGCGAGUAAUUAAAUUAGCCACUCACCAUAACAUUUGUGUUGUUUUAAAUAUCCUUCCCUAUGUUACUAAUGACACGUGAGCUCAUGCACAUGGAAAGAAAGUUUAAAAUCUCAACUGUAGAGUAUUGAGUCUGUUUGUUUACUCUUUGCUCCUCAUCCAGCUCGGACAGGGAAACCGUCUUGACCAGUUGUUCCCGUUCUUGGUUCUCUGGCACUUUGAUGCCAUCAAACUAGGGCUCCAGAAGAAGCAGACCUUGUUCCUGGUCCUAGCGGAAAUUCCAGUGGACUCUGUUAGAACCCUUCAGCUGGUCUCUCUAUGUGACGCACUCAUGUUCCCCUUAUACUGAAAUCCCAUUCAUAGCGCAAACUGUGGUGGUAUAAACCAGCAUUGAUUGCAUGUCCCAAUCCAGUGGAAAUUGCAUGCUAUAUACCAGCAUGGACUGCAUGUCACACAAUCCAGUCUAUUCUGUAAAUAUGGUAGAACCUAGGCCAUACAUGGGAAUGGAUGGAAAAAUAUCUGGGAUUGGGAGAAUAGAAGACAUGGCCUGUUCAGAGAAGACAGUUGUUCAGAGUCCUGUUUCCACUCUGACCAAUUUGUAUCACUCAGUCAGUGCAAACUAUCUGGAAUCUGACUGCAAGUGGCCACUAGGGAUUUCCCCUGGUGGAAGGGAUCUGCUGGCAUAAAG